CCUACGGGGUGCAGCAGUGGGGAAUAUUGGGCAAUGGGCGCAAGCCUGACCCAGCAACGCCGCGUGAAGGAAGAAGGCUUUCGGGUUGUAAACUUCUUUUCUCAGGGACGAAGCAAGUGACGGUACCUGAGGACUAAGCCACGGCUAACUACGUGCCAGCAGCCGCGGUAAUACGUAGGUGGCAAGCGUUAUCCGGAUUUACUGGGUGUAAAGGGCGUGUAGGCGGGGACGCAAGUCAGAUGUGAAAACCACGGGCUCAACCUGUGGCCUGCAUUUGAAACUGUGUUUCUUGAGUACUGGAGAGGCAGACGGAAUGCCUAGUGUAGCGGUGAAAUGCGUAGAUAUUAGGAGGAACACCAGUGGCGAAGGCGGUCUGCUGGACAGCAACUGACGCUGAGGCGCGAAAGCGUGGGGAGCAAACAGGAUUAGAUACCCUGGUAGUC
Molecule: ribosomal RNA, 443 nt
Filed under: uncultured bacterium
Lineage: Bacteria
Description: partial 16S ribosomal RNA
Rfam family: Bacterial small subunit ribosomal RNA
Source: RNAcentral